Long non-coding RNA from Bactrocera neohumeralis, 1961 nucleotides. RefSeq lists it as uncharacterized. Lineage: Eukaryota; Metazoa; Arthropoda; Insecta; Diptera; Tephritidae. The record is from RefSeq and is a predicted model, not a curated record. The transcript has 2 exons.
UAUUGUGAUAUUUUUUAUGAAUUGUUUUCGUUUCUGAUGUUUAUAUAUAUUCUUUUUAUUUGUUAACUAUGUAUUUAUUUUUAAUAAUAUAUAUUAUGUUGUAUAUGGGUGAUAUAGGCCUACUGGGGAACCGAGCACCCAAAAAUAAUAUCGGUAACGUGCUAUUUGCAUACCUCAGUGGUAGUGUGGAAAUUGCAAAAUGUCCAAAAGUAGUUUAUAAAAUGCCCAAUCUAAUAUUUUUCACCAGUGGCAUCAUUGGCAAAUGUUAUAAAAAAUGCGAGUUUUGACAGCUCUCUCUCAAUUCAAAGUGUAAACACAAUGGCUAUGACAGACUGCAAACUACAUCUGUCAAAUAUUAAAAUACACACGUUCUUAUGGGCAGUGUUAUUUUGACAGCUGCACGACUACACAACUGCAGGCCGACAGUUGUCGUUCUCGCUAACUUCAAUAUCCUCCUAUUUUUGCCAACGACAGUAGGACGACAGUAGAGUUGACAGUAGAAUGGAAGAUAGAAAGAGGAGGUAGAGUGGUGAUGCCACUAAUAUGUAAAAUGUAAAAUGAUUCACAGCUCUAACAAACUUGAUGUUAUUUUACAAAUAAAAGCAUAAAAUAGCUAUAUUAUAGCUCUAUUAUAUCAUUUGUAAUAACAAUUGAUAAUUUAAAGCAAAAAUAUUGACCUAUUUACUUAUUUUUUGCAUAAAAAAUUUCACUUUGAACAAAAUAUUAAAAUUUCAUUGAAGUGAAAGGUAUUAGUAUGGCCACAACGAAAUUGUGUACAUACAAAAUGGACAACUGCGUUGUUUUGUGUACAUGCCGGCCAUUGUGUUGUAGUUGCUUCUCAAAAUGUACAUGUAGUAAGAUGAACAACGACGUUUUCAGUUCACUGUCGUGCCGCUGCAGUCUGUCGUAGCCAUUGUGUUUACACUUUCAAAGAGUCUCGUAUCAUAUUAUCCAUGCUGUUGUCUGUCAGGGCUAUAAGAUGUGUGAAUGCAUUGGUAGUGUCUUUGCCAGAAUACGGUCCAACAACAUCAUGGUUGUAACAUUGGGGAUGUUCGAGUCUCAAUCACUGCGGCAGUAUAGCAAGGCAUCAUAUUCGACGCAAAAAUUUUGCAAUAUAAGUAUCAGCUGAGUAUCUGCAGAAAAACAACACUGUCGCAAUAUUGCUGCAGUUAUUUGCUUGCUCGAACAUCCCCAUUAUGUUAAUUGUUCGUUUAAUGGCCAUGUAUAAAUAAAGAACAGUUUUUCCAGUCACUUCAAUCCAGACCAAAAAAUAUAUCACUAAAUGUUGAGUGAACACUUUGACCAAUAAAUGGACUAAUUUUUAGUACAGCAUUUGCGGACGAGCAAUUAGCUGCUGUAGUGUAAUGUUCCCGAAAAUUGUUUAACAUACAUAUUUUCAAGUGUUUGUCUUUAGUUCACGAACGCGGAGGCUUUUAAGACAUUAAUGGGUGUGAAUGGUACAAAUAGUCAGGGCAUUGCGACGAAUCCGUUGGCGGAAUGGGUGUAAAAAGUGAGCGAAGGUAAUAAGACAAUACUUGAUGAAAUUUACAAUAAAGUGGUAGAAUCCGCGGGUGAAUUUUUCAACGCUGGGAGUGCUGGACUUUAUCUACUUCAAAGCAAGAUUAACCACAGUCGUGUACCAAACGCUCACUCGACAUGGCCUUAUUCAAACGACACAGUAGUUGUGUUGAAAGCGGUAGCACCUAUACAAGUUGGUGUAGAAAUUUACAUAUCUUACUUGGGUGAGUGCCAGCUGGAGUGUACAAACUUAAAUAGUAUUGUAUAGUAAUUAUAAUAUUUAUUUUUAAUGUAGAUACUUUAACAAAUACAAACAAAAUUUAAUUCUUUCUCUUCAUUUUCGAUAUUUGCAAAUUUCGGAGGAAAAAUCUCCAGUCCGACCCAAUCACUAUUAUUAUUAUAUUUAAAUUACUCAAUACUAAUAAACAGUAUAACAAUAAGAA